Long non-coding RNA from Oncorhynchus masou masou (cherry salmon), 1326 nucleotides. RefSeq lists it as uncharacterized. NCBI's taxonomy places the organism in Eukaryota, Metazoa, Chordata, Actinopteri, Salmoniformes, Salmonidae. The transcript has 2 exons. The record is from RefSeq and is a predicted model, not a curated record.
GUUUUUAUAUCAGAUUAUUUAAUACCUGAAAGAUAUUAUUAUUUUAAAGUUAUGUUUUUAAAGCGUAGUGAGUGAAUAUGAACUGUGAGUAGUAGAGACCAGGGUUGAUGUGGAGAUGGCUCUGGUCCAGGGUGUUACGUGUGGCAGGUUCAGCUUCAGCAAGCAACCCGUAACACCCUGGUCCAGAGCUAGUGUAGAGACAGACGUGUGUAUAGGAGCAGUAUACAGGGUAGGAUCCCUGGUGUAGUUGGAUAUGGGACAGACAGACAAACACUACUGUAGUUGGAUAUGGGACAGACAGACACCAGGCUAACACCCCCCAUUUGGUUGUGUUUGAAAUGGCCGCCUAUUCCCUACGUAGUGCAGAGGGCCCUGGUCUAUAGUAGUGCACGAUAUAGGGAAUAGGGCUCUGGUCUAUAGUAGUGCACUAUAUAGGGAAUAGGGCCCUGGUCUAUCGUAGUGCACUAUAUAGGGAAUAGGGCUCUGGUCUAUAGUAGUGCACUAUAUAGGAAUAGGGCCCUGGUCUAUAGUAGUACCACUAUAUAGGGAAUAGGGCUCUGGUCUAUAAUAGUGCACUAUAUAGGGAAUAGGGCUCUGGUCUAUCGUAGUGCACUAUAUAGGGAAUAGCUUGCUGUUUCAAACACAGCCUGUUUCUGUCCAUCCAUCUGUCUGUAGAGUUCACAUAUACAUUGUGUUAAUUGUAUUCAAGAUGUUUUGCAAAAUGGUUAAAAGGCAGAUGAUUGGCUUAUGUUUUAAUGAUCCUCUCAGAUGGUCAUGGCUUUGAUUGGACAAUAUUAAACGGUGCACAAUGAAGGUCAAGCUGUACGAUUGUCUGUUAUGUUGAUGGUGACGGGGUCUAACCUGGUCUGUCUCUUUAGGUCACGUUAGCUCUCCGUCUGUCUGUAUAUACAGCUGCAGCUCCUGUCUCCAAGGGCCUCCUUUGGCCCUGCAGACAGACAGAAAGGACGUACACUAAACUACAGGAAGUGCUAGGACAGCCAGGUCACGUGACAGUGAAUGUUCUAGAAGCAUCUCUAGACCAGACCAGAUAGCCACGUAACUCCUGACUGAGGGUGGACAUACGGAACGCCGUUUGGGUCAAAAAAAGAUACACUUUUAAUUUGACACGUUAAAUGACUAUUAUAUUAUAGAAUGUUGUGUGCUCUGAAUUUACACAAGACGAGCUCACUACUCUUGACGUUUUUCUUGCUCUGUUCCCAAUGAUUUAUGAAAACUUGCUCGGUCUGUCGAUGUCCUCAUUGUGGUUUAACAGACGUGUUUAAUACGUAUAAGGUACACACUUUAUUAAAAUAUUUAUGAAAUGCA